GAAAUGCGAUAAGUAAUGCGAAUUGCAGAAUUUCCGUGAGUCAUCGAAUCUUUGAACGCACAUUGCGCCCUCUGGCAUUCCGGGGGGCAUGCCUGUCCGAGCGUCAUUACGCACCCUCAAGCCCGGCUUGUGUGAUGGGCCCUGGCGUCUCGUUCGCGAGACGGGCCCGAAAGGCAGCGGCGGCGUCGACCCGAUGAGCCCGAGCGUAUGGGGACUUUUGUCACACGUUUGCGGUGCGGACCGGCGCCUGCUUGACUUUUCUGAUUAUCCAGGUUGACUCGGAUCAGGUAGGGAUACCCGCUGAACUUAAGC
RNAcentral lists this unclassified non-coding RNA (312 nucleotides) under plant metagenome. RNAcentral's name for it is "partial contains 5.8S ribosomal RNA, internal transcribed spacer 2, and large subunit ribosomal RNA". The stretch from base 1 to 106 matches the Rfam family "5.8S ribosomal RNA", at positions 50 to 154 of the family's 154-position model. The record is from RNAcentral.